Molecule: ribosomal RNA, 263 nt
Filed under: uncultured bacterium
Lineage: Bacteria
Description: partial 16S ribosomal RNA
Rfam family: Bacterial small subunit ribosomal RNA
Source: RNAcentral
UACGUAGGGUGCGAGCGUUAAUCGGAAUUACUGGGCGUAAAGCGUGCGCAGGCGGUUUUGUAAGCCAGGUGUGAAAUCCCCGGGCUCAACCUGGGAACGGCGCGCGAAACGGGGGGGGCUUGAGUUCGGGAGAGGAGCGUGGAAUUCCCAGUGUAGAGGUGAAAUGCACAGAUAUCAGGAGGAACACCGGUGGCGAAGGCGGUGCUCUGGGCCAGUACUGGACGCUGAGGAGCGAAAGCGUGGGGAGCGAACGAGGAUUGAUA